GGCCCCGUGGUCCAACGGAACACGACGCCCGGCUACGAACCGGGAGGCUGGGGGUUCGACUCCCUCCGGGGCCA
RNAcentral lists this transfer RNA (74 nucleotides) under Gemmatimonadota bacterium. Its description in RNAcentral is "Gemmatimonadetes bacterium (activated sludge metagenome) tRNA-Arg". It matches the Rfam family "tRNA". From Rfam's summary of the family: Transfer RNA (tRNA) molecules are approximately 80 nucleotides in length. Their secondary structure includes four short double-helical elements and three loops (D, anti-codon, and T loops). Further hydrogen bonds mediate the characteristic L-shaped molecular structure. tRNAs have two regions of fundamental functional importance: the anti-codon, which is responsible for specific mRNA codon recognition, and the 3' end, to which the tRNAs corresponding amino acid is attached (by aminoacyl-tRNA synthetases). tRNAs cope with the degeneracy of the genetic code in two manners: having more than one tRNA (with a specific anti-codon) for a particular amino acid; and 'wobble' base-pairing, i.e. permitting non-standard base-pairing at the 3rd anti-codon position. The record is from RNAcentral. Lineage: Bacteria; Pseudomonadati; Gemmatimonadota.